This 6706-nucleotide long non-coding RNA is filed under the name Sus scrofa (pig). Its description in RNAcentral is "lncRNA (ENSSSCG00055025228.1)". Lineage: Eukaryota; Metazoa; Chordata; Mammalia; Artiodactyla; Suidae. The record is from RNAcentral.
AUUGUUAUUUCCCCAACACAAUUUUUUUUUCCACUGUACAGCAUGGAGACCCAGUUAUACAUACAUGUAUAAAUACUUUUUUCUCCAUUAUCAUGCUCCAUUGUAAGUAUCUAGACAUAGUUCUCAGUGCUACACAGCAGGAUCUCACUGUUAAUCCAUUCCAAAGCAGUAGUUUCAUCCGUUAACCCCAAGCUCCCAAUCCAUCCUACUCCCUCCACCUGCCCCAGGGCAACCACAAGUCUAUUCUGCAAGUCCAUGAUUUUCUUUUCUGUGGAAAGGUUCAUUUGUGCUGUAUAUCAGGUUCCUUUUUGGCAUAUGAUAAAAUGUCUCUAGCCUCAACCUUUCACCACUUGGCCAUACACUACAUAGAGCCUGGCCAUUUUCUAAGGCUAUGCACAGAUUCAUCUGUAGACUAGUGGGAAUAAUUCUAUUUAGAAUUAUAAAUGUCUGGAUUUAAAUCUCAGCUUCUCUAUUGGCCUCACUCUCUUUAUAAUAGCAUUACUAUAAUACUAAGCUAUAUACUGAUAUACAAUUAUAUAUACACCAAUAUACAAUAAUAUUCUGUCUUUGUAAUAUAUUUAUUUGUAAUAGUACAGUUGUCUCUUGCUAUAUGCAGGGGAUUGGUGCUAGGAACAGUGCCCCCUCUUCCCACUCACCCUGGCAAAUACCAAAAUAUGUGGAUGCUACAGUCAGCCCUUCAUUUUGGCAAAGGUGGAACAAAGUGUAAUACAGGGGGCAAACUAUAUUAUCAAUAAUACUUACUUUUUUAAAGGAUUGUUCUCAAAUUUAGAAAACAAUCAAGUAAGAGUCAAGCCCCCUGCUUAGUAGGCAGUGGCAUAAGACUAUCUAAUAGUAGUUUAUCUCCUUAUAGCAAACCAGCACAUUAUUGAACUCUUGGUAAAUGUUCAAAUAAUAACUUAUUCUGAUUGCUAUCCAUUUAUUUUGUAUUACAAAUAUAUAGACAUAUAGCAAUUCCAAAAAAUAAAUUUUAAAAAAAUGACAGCUACUUUUGGUAUAUUUCCUUGCAAUAUUUUUUAUAUUCAACUGUAAUAACAGUUGUAAUGACUAUGGAUAUACAAUUUUAUAAUCAAGCUUUUGUCCUGAUAAGUAAUUUCCAUCUUUCUUCAGAGCCUCUAUAAACCUCAUUUUUAAUGGUUGUAUAAUUCAGUAAAUGCCAAGUGAUGAUUUAUCUGUCAUUACCAGCCAGAGCAGAUCAACCAUGAAGCCCUCUGAUGAACUAUGCUAUGAAUAACGUAUUUUAAAGUUCUCAGUACAAUGAAGGGAGACUUGGAAAAAACUGCUUGAGUACUAAUAUGCUUGAAAAUAUUUGUACCUAAUGCAGACGGUCUCUGUCAUUAACUAGUGCUAGGGUUUGGGCAAGUUCUUUAUUAUCCUUGGUGGGCUUUGGACCGAAUUAUAGAAUAACCCAGAAUUUCUAUUGUUUCAAAGGUGCUCAUCAGUUUUAUAAUUUUACUAUGAUAUAUUUUAUAAUGGUUCCCAAUUCUAACACUCAGCAGUUGGGUGAUUGGACCAGUUCCCUAGCAUACGAAAAUACUAAAUGAACAGUUUUGUUUUUGUCAUGCUAUUCCUCUCUAUGGUUUGCAAUUCUUUUCUUUUUUCUUUUUUUUCUUUCUUUCUUUCUUUUCUUUUUUUUUUUUUUUUUGGCCACACCUGCAGCAUAUGGAAGUCACUGGGCCAGGGACAGAAUCUGAGCCGCUGCUGUGACCUAUGCCAUAGCCAUGGCAAUGCUGGAUCCUUAAUCCACUGCACCAGGCUGGGGAUUUAACCCAUGACCUGAACCACUGCAAAUACAACCCUGGAUCCUUAACCCGCUGUGCCAAAGUGGGAACUCCUGUGGUUACCAAUUCUAAUCUGGACAUUAGUGCUGUUGGUAUCCCCUUCCUGCAUCUCCAGGGAUCUUAGCAUCAUCCUAAACUUCCUCCAGUUCUAUAUAGUCUUCCUCCCUCCUCUUAAAGAAAAGUUGGGAAACUCCUGAAUAUAUGAAGCCUCAAGUCCCUUGCUAAAUCUGAGCCAAAGAUGUCCAUCAUUUAGGGUGCUGGUGUGGUGUUUUAAUCCCUUUUAAUUUGUUCCCAACAUUUAAAAUCAAAGUCCACACUUACAGGCCUCCUGAAAAAUUGGGAGCUCCGAAACAUUGGGCCAGCAUCCAUACUAGGCAGAAAGUGGCUGGAACUCAUUAAAAGCUGACAGCUUUGGAUGAGUCACGCAUUCUUCAAAGUCCAGACCAUCAACUGGAUGAUCACCUAUUAUCAUCAUCUUGGUGAGUCUCACUUAUUUAUUUCCUUACCUGGAUUAUGCAGGCAUCUGGAUUUGUGGGGAAAUCAUCAAAAACUGACAAAUUUUAAAGGUCAGUGCUACAAGUAGUUCAUUUAGAAAAUAAUCAUAUCACUUUGAGCUGAUUGACCUUCGCUUGAAUCCAAUCCAAAUUCUACUGGUUUCAUACUCUGCCAUUUCACUGAUUACAUGCAUAUUGUACCUGCUCAUAGAGCUGACUUCUCUGCUUUGAAGCUUAGGGUCAAGUACAUUUUCAUACUGCAAGUAAAAAUGGGAAAAGAUUGGUUUUCUUUGAGAGGAAGCAUCUCCCAGUAGAGAUGUCUGAAAGGCCUUUGCCACAAGCAAAGGGUAAAAUAGAGCUGUUCUGUGUGUUUCCUUUUCAUAAACACUCACUCACAAAGCAUUUUCCUUUGUAAUAAAAUUUAUGAAAUUAUUCAUCAGAAGCAGAAAUGGCCUCAAUUAGAUAAAAGAAAUGGAGCAAUUAAUUCAUUUGUGACAAACUCACGGGUGGCCAGAAAAAUAAAAUCAUAUCUAAAAUUAGUUGAAGACAGACCCUGAGAUUGGACGCUUUCUCCAUAUUAAAAAAUGAAUGCAAUUGACACCUUUUAACAUUUGUCCUUUAUCUGCCUUGUAAAAAAAAAAAUUAAUUUCCUUAGUCAAAGCGGGAAAACAAAAGACCAGGUUACAACUACACAGAGCUUUCAGGAAAAGGAAAUUGCACUAGUUAUGGAAACAAGAAAUUCAGGGUGCAGCUGUCACUAUCAAAAUACAACAAAAGCCAGAAUAAAAUUGCCACAACAAUGCACAAUUAAAAUUAUUCCUGACUGGUUUUUCUUUUUCCUUUAAAAUUACUACUUGUGUCUGGACACCAUUAAAAUACAAUAUUAUUUGGAGUUUUCUGAGGUCUUUACCAUGAAUAAUCAAAGUCCCAAACCAAAAUCACCUUCAUGGACCACACAUGAACUAGAAACCCAAAUCCCUUCUUUGUAAAAUACAUGAUUGUGAUGCACUGAAACAUUCACAAGGCAUUUUUAUGACAGAACUGUGGUUCUAACCAUAACUUGGACUGAAUAUUAUAGCUGGUGCUAGCAAUUUAGUUUUUAUCAAUGACUUUUCCAAAAGAAAGGUAACAAUAGCUAUAGAGUGAUGAUUACAUGUGUUAACAGAGGGAGGAAUUAGCAAUAAGUAACACUUGGGGAAAUAUGCAUUGUGGAACUUAAUGAUUAUUUAAUUACUAAAAUAUUUUUAAUAAGUGAAAUUAUUCAACUUGUAGAAUUGGAAAGUAGGCUGGUCGAGAGAUCAAGUGUAAGUCUGUGGCCUUGGGCUAACUACAUACACUUACUAUAUUUCCCUAGGUUGACAGUUGGCAGUUCCCACCCUCGGCAGCACGUUAUAUUAAUAGGAGAGCUUCAGAAAUCCCUGGUGGACAGAAUGCACUUAACUAAUCAAAUCACAAUCUGGGAGUGGGACCCAAGCACCAGUAUUUUUUAAAGGCUAUGUGCAGCCAAGGUUGAAAAGCACACCACAGUGAUUAUCAAUUCAGGCCCCUUUCAAGAGUUUGCAAAUAAAUACCCUAUGAAAACAAUUUGUUCUAAAAGGAUGGUUAUCUCUAUCAAUAAAACUGGCCUUAUCUGCCUUAUUGUAACUGCAAUAGGCAUUUUUUGCUGGAUUCUCAUCAAAUGUUUAGUUUAUAUUUGUGAUCAUCUGGUAUAAAAAACAGCUCUUGUGGCCUAAGCAAAGCAAAGUUCACUGAGUAGGGAGCAUAGGAUCCGUGAGACAUCUGGAAGAAUUAUGCCACCUUUUAUUCUGAAGAUUCAUGAAGCUAUCUAUCCAUAAUUGGAUUUACAGUUUAAAUUUUACUAGGAUUACUUUACAUGAGGAGUGGAGAGCUUUAUUUAUACAACCAACAAAAUACACAUACAGACACACACACACACACAUAUAUAUAUACAUACAUACACACAUAUUUAUUCCAAUUUGUUUACCUAUCAUAAAAUGGUAAUUUUUUUUGUUGUGCUUUUAGGGCUGCACUUGCAGAUAUGGAAGUUCCCAGGCUAGAGGUCGAAUUGGAGGUGUAGCUGCCAGCCUAUACCACAGCCACAGUAACAUGGGAUCUGAGCCGCAUGUGAGACCUACACUACAGUUCAUGGCAAUGCUGGAUCCUUAACCCAAUGAGCGAGGCUAGGGAUUGAACCCACGUCCUCAUGGAUACUAUCAGGUUCAUUACCACUAAGCCAUGAAGGGAACUUCCAAACAGUAACAUUUUUAAGCUUAGAAAAAGUCCUAUGAUUUUCCCCUGGAGUGCACAUGUGUGUGUGUGAGCACAUGACAUGGCACGUACACGUGCUCCUGCACACAGGUGUGUGCUGACUGGGAUCUCCAGGUCUCAGGUUGUGAAUAUUCACAGGGUGGGAGGCAGGCCACAGUGCCAUGCCUCUAGCCCACUCCUAUACAUUCCUUUAUUCUUGGAGGGGACAGACUCUCCAGAUUUUUGAGGAUUAUGUGAGAAUCGUUAAAACACAGCCAUAUUUCUAUUUUCCCCUUCUUUUGUAAAGCUGUUAGAGAUCCCUUUAGUUGUAUUUUUAAAAUUGCUUCUACUUUGAGAGUGUUAUCCUAUUUUCAAUCCCAUUAUUUUAUCUUAUUGUCAUUUACUUUAAAGGGGGUCUUGAAGCAGUAGUAAAAAUAAGAGAGAGUGUUACAGAUAACUUCAACUUGGAGAGAAUGGCUAGUUCAUUCUUUCCCAUCCCUCCUCCUCUUGGAAAUUCUUCCAAUUCAAGUUUCUUUCUUCCUGGUUUCUUUACAAUUUUGUUACCAUCUUUUUAAAGAUUUCUAACAAAAUAUCUAACUUUUGUUUUUACAUUUUUGGUCUAAUAAACAUAUGUAAACCUCUAUUUUAUUUUCCCUCUUAGAAUGGCUUUUUCAUUUUCUGUUAAUUUAGAUAUACUGUGUUCAGCUAGUGGAUUAUAACUAGCUGAAACUUCAAUUUUGUUUUCUCCUUUGAUUUAAGGUUGAAGCUUAACAAUAACUUUGAGGUUUAAUUUUUUAUUUGCAAUUUUUAAUUUUGUGGUUUUGUGCUGAGAUAAUAUAGACUGUACACAAUUUUUAGAUUUCUAGAAAAUAGAAGUUACUAAGAUUCUUUGUUGUAUUAUAUACCAUUUAUAAUUAAGAACUUGUUGUUACAAUUGUGUCAAUAUAGGCUACUUAUACCCUUGAGAUUUUAUUUCAAGUUAAAUAAUAAAAAAUAAUAAUAAUACUUUUUAAAGGCAUUUCUAGGACAAGCCAAUGAGCUAAUGGAUAUGGAACUGUAAGAAAUUAUCAAAUGCUAGGGUUGUCCAUUUCAAGAAAGCUGUUAUAUUUUGAUUUUCAUAAAGAUGGAAACCCUUAUAUUGUACUGUAUUUUUAAUUUAUUUAUUCAAUCAUUUAUCUUAGCUAUGUACCAGGUACUGCAUCAGGCAUAGAUGAUAUAAAUAUGAAUAAGAGACUACUCUUCUCCUCAAGAAGCCUUUAAUUUAGUGAAAAAAGAGCCAUGUGGUUAGAAAAUAGACUUGUGGUUAUCAAGGGGGGUAGGGUGGGAGUAGGAUGGAUGGGGAGUUUAGGGUUGAUAGAUGCAAAUUAUUACAUUUAGAAUGGAUAAGCGAUGAGAUUCUGCUGAAUAGCACAGGGAACUAUGUAUAAUUUCUUGCCUUAGACCAUAAUGGAAGAUAAUAUGAGAAAGAGAAUGUACAUAUACAUCUGACUGGGUCACUGUGCUGUACAGCAGAAAUUGACUCAACACUGUAAAUCAACUAUAUCCUAAUAGAAAAUAAAUUUAAUUAAUAAAAAAGAGACAUGCGAGGAGUAUGGAAAGUGUUAUAAAAGAUCAUAUAUGUAGAUGAGCAUAAGCAAUUUAUUAAACAUUCUCUCUGCCUCAGUCUCUUCAUUUCUAGAAAUAGGAUAACGAUUUAUUUCUGGUAUAGUGGUGUGUAAAUCAAGAUGCGGAGCCAAGGGGUGAGAACAGGUACAACUUUCAAACCAAGUCAAUCAGAUAUCAUUCUAAGGUUUUGGAUUCUGAGCAAUAAGAGAGAGAUAGAUAAACUGUAACAAAGCUUAGAGCCCAUUUAUUCCAGUGGCCACGUCAUCCUUGAGAAAACUCUUGAUUGUGAUGUUACCUACGCUAGUCACUCUCCCCUGGCUCUGAUCCUUCUCUGAAUCUGGCUCUCUGAAAUCUCCAUCAUUUCUGGAAACUCCUGCUAACUAUUUCAAUAAAUUCCUUUUCUGCUUCAAUGAUCCAGAAUUAGCUUCUGCUAACAGUAUCCUCAGAAUCCUAACAAUCAUGACAUUUUUUAAAAUGAGGUUUUAUUUCCACAAGGAAAACAACUGUGAAAGAGGAAUCCCAAGAUUAGAAGUGAAAUCCCAGAGGAUAAGUUACUGGGUA